UACGUAGGGUGCGAGCGUUAAUCGGAAUUACUGGGCGUAAAGCGUGCGCAGGCGGUUAUUUAAGUCAGGUGUGAAAGCCCUGGGCUUAACCUAGGAAUUGCGCUUGAGACUGGAUAGCUUGGAGUGCGGCAGAGGGAGGUGGAAUUCCACGUGUAGCAGUGAAAUGCGUAGAGAUGUGGAGGAACACCGAUGGCGAAGGCAGCCUCCUGGGCCAGCACUGACGCUCGUGCACGAAAGCGUGGGGAGCAAACAGG
Molecule: ribosomal RNA, 254 nt
Filed under: uncultured bacterium
Lineage: Bacteria
Description: partial 16S ribosomal RNA
Rfam family: Bacterial small subunit ribosomal RNA
Source: RNAcentral